This 505-nucleotide long non-coding RNA is filed under the name Rattus norvegicus (Norway rat). Its description in RNAcentral is "long non-coding RNA NONRATT014453". The record is from RNAcentral. Lineage: Eukaryota; Metazoa; Chordata; Mammalia; Rodentia; Muridae.
GCCCUAGUCUUCGCCGAGCCUGGAGGGGACAGUCCCGUCACCGGAAGAAGGCUCUCGGCCAGGGCAGGCUGGAGCCAGUGCCUCUCAAGACAGAGGGGCGGAGGGUCAAGCGAAGCUGAGGGACCCGUGGCAGAUUUGGGAUGAGCGAGCAGGACGGGUGUGUGGAGGCCGGGGAGAGAAAGCUGGUGGGCCGGAAGCAGAGCUGAGGCCCAGUGUUGAGCCGAGAUGGCCCAAGCCUGACAUUCCAUGAUCUGGGAUCCUGACCUAUGUGUACAGGCUGCUGCUUGCUAGCGGAUGAUCUAAACCACCAGGCAGACCUGGGCCAGGAGAGGAGGACUCUCUGCCUGGAUGUGUGGGAACUCCCUGCCAACUUGAUUGUCGGAUCUGGGGGGGAUCCACCCCCACCCCCACAGAGAAAGCACAAUCUGUUUUGCGGGUGGGGUCUCAGGUGUCACCCCCUGAAGCAUGGCCACCCCUGUGGUCACCAAGACUGCCUGGAAGUUAC